Molecule: ribosomal RNA, 310 nt
Filed under: uncultured Nocardioidaceae bacterium
Lineage: Bacteria; Bacillati; Actinomycetota; Actinomycetes; Propionibacteriales; Nocardioidaceae
Description: SSU rRNA
Rfam family: Bacterial small subunit ribosomal RNA
Source: RNAcentral
GAAGAAGCCCCGGCCAACUUCGUGCCAGCAGCCGCGGUAAUACGAAGGGGGCUAGCGUUGCUCGGAAUCACUGGGCGUAAAGGGCGCGUAGGCGGCCCGGCAAGUCAGGCGUGAAAUCCCCGGGCUCAACCCGGGGGCUGCGCUUGAGACUGCGGGGCUCGAGGGCGGGAGAGGCUCGCGGAAUUCCCAGUGUAGAGGUGAAAUUCGUAGAUAUUGGGAAGAACACCGGUGGCGAAGGCGGCGAGCUGGCCCGUUUCUGACGCUGAGGCGCGACAGCGUGGGGAGCAAACAGGAUUAGAUACCCUGGUAG